Pelobates cultripes (western spadefoot toad) is the source of this 210-nucleotide non-coding RNA. The record is from the annotation of a GenBank genome assembly. NCBI's taxonomy places the organism in Eukaryota, Metazoa, Chordata, Amphibia, Anura, Pelobatidae.
GUGAUUUUAGAUAAGCCAAAUGACGUCAAAAUCGUCAUCAGGAAAAGUUAACUCUUUCCUGGAUAGGAAGGUUUCGUUAGACGAGACUGCCAUCUAUGGAUCAAAUACCUAAAUUGCGAUCCAUCGAUUGAAUCCACCUACGGCUUCCUAUUGGUUUAUCAACUAAUGACGUACAAAGAGUCUGGCCCUUUAAAAGUAAGGACAAAGGGA